Molecule: ribosomal RNA, 1448 nt
Filed under: Enterobacter sp.
Lineage: Bacteria; Pseudomonadati; Pseudomonadota; Gammaproteobacteria; Enterobacterales; Enterobacteriaceae
Description: partial 16S ribosomal RNA
Rfam family: Bacterial small subunit ribosomal RNA
Source: RNAcentral
GCAUGGCGGCGGCUACAAUGCAGUCGACGGUUGAAGAAGAGCUUGCUGCUUCGCUGACGAGUGGCAGAGGGGAGAGUAAUGUCUGGGAAACUGCCUGAUGGAGGGGGAUAACUCCGGAAAACGGGGCCUAAUCCCGAAUACCGUCUCAACACCAAAGAUCGAGACCUUCAGGCCUCUUCCCCUCUCAUUUACCCAUAUGCCAUUAGCUAAUAAGCGAGGUAACGGCUCACCUGCGCGACAAUGCCACAAGAUGACCGGGUGAUCGGCCACUGAGACACGGUCCCGACUCCUACGGGACGCAGCAGUGGGGAAUAUUGGAAUCUUCCCGCAAGCCUGAUGCUCCCAUGCCGCAUGUCCGAAUAAGGCCUUCGGGUUGUAAAGGACUUUCAGCGGGGAGGAAGGCAAUAACGUUUGCUACUUUAAUAAUUGGGCUUACCCGCGGAACCUAACCCGGCUGCCUCCGCUACCUCCGUGCCAGCAACCGCGAGGGUGCAUGGGUUGCAAGCAAUUACCGGGAAUUAUUGCGCACGCAGGCCGCCCGUCUGGUUUCAUGUGAUAUCUUUGAACUCCCCCUGGCUAACUCCCCAGCGUGGGAACUGCAUUCGAAACUGGCAGGCUAGAGUCUGGUGGAGGGAGGAUAGACUUCCAGGUGUAGCGUUGAAAUGCGUAUAGAUCGGGAGGACUACCGGUGGGGAAGGCGGCCCCCUUGUACAAAGAUUGACGCUCAGGUGCGAAAGGGUGGGAAGCAAACAGGAUUAGAUACCUUGGUAGUCCACGCCGUAAACGAUGUCGACUAGGAGGUGGUGCCCUUGAGGCGUGGCUUCCGGAGCUAACGCGUUAAGUCGUCCGCCUGGGGAGUACGGCCGCAAGGUUAAAACUCAAAUGAAUUGACGGGGGCCCGCACAAGCGGUGGAGCAUGUGGUUUAAUUCGAUGCAACGCGAAGAACCUUACCUAGUCUUGACAUCCAGAGAACUUAGCAGAGAUGCUUUGGUGCCUUCGGGAACUGUGAGACAGGUGCUGCAUGGCUGUCGUCAGCUCGUGUUGUGAAAUGUUGGGUUAAGUCCCGCAACGAGCGCAACCCUUAUCCUUUGUUGCCAGCGGUUAGGCCGGGAACUCAAAGGAGACUGCCAGUGAUAAACUGGAGGAAGGUGGGGAUGACGUCAAGUCAUCAUGGCCCUUACGAGUAGGGCUACACACGUGCUACAAUGGCGCAUACAAAGAGAAGAAACCUCGCGAGAGCAAGCGGACUUCAUAAACUGUGUUGUAGUCCGGAUUGGAGUCUGCAAUUGGACUCCAUGAAGUCGGAAUCGCUAGUAAUCGUGAAUCAGAAUGCCACGGUGAAUACGUUCCCGGCCCUUGUACACACCGCCCGUCACACCAUGGGAGUGGGUCCAAAAGAAGUAGGUAGCUUAACCUUCGGGACGGCGCUACUCACGUUGAUCAAUGU